GAUGAACGCUGGCGGCGUGCCUAAUACAUGCAAGUCGAGCGAACAGACAAGGAGCUUGCUCCUCUGACGUUAGCGGCGGACGGGUGAGUAACACGUGGAUAACCUACCUAUAAGACUGGGAUAACUUCGGGAAACCGGAGCUAAUACCGGAUAAUAUAUUGAACCGCAUGGUUCAAUAGUGAAAGACGGUUUUGCUGUCACUUAUAGAUGGAUCCGCGCCGCAUUAGCUAGUUGGUAAGGUAACGGCUUACCAAGGCAACGAUGCGUAGCCGACCUGAGAGGGUGAUCGGCCACACUGGAACUGAGACACGGUCCAGACUCCUACGGGAGGCAGCAGUAGGGAAUCUUCCGCAAUGGGCGAAAGCCUGACGGAGCAACGCCGCGUGAGUGAUGAAGGUCUUCAGAUCGUAAAACUCUGUUAUUAGGGAAGAACAAAUGUGUAAGUAACUAUGCACGUCUUGACGGUACCUAAUCAGAAAGCCACGGCUAACUACGUG
RNAcentral lists this ribosomal RNA (497 nucleotides) under uncultured bacterium. Its description in RNAcentral is "partial 16S ribosomal RNA". It matches the Rfam family "Bacterial small subunit ribosomal RNA", at positions 28 to 507 of the family's 1533-position model. The record is from RNAcentral.